RNAcentral lists this ribosomal RNA (446 nucleotides) under uncultured bacterium. RNAcentral's name for it is "bacterial SSU rRNA". It matches the Rfam family "Bacterial small subunit ribosomal RNA", at positions 217 to 662 of the family's 1533-position model. The record is from RNAcentral.
GGUAUGGGAUGAGCUUGCGUCCGAUUAGCUAGUUGGCGGGGCAACGGCCCACCAAGGCGACGAUCGGUAGCCGGCCUGAGAGGGUGAUCGGCCACAUUGGGACUGAGAUACGGCCCAGACUCCUACGGGAGGCAGCAGUAGGGAAUAUUGCACAAUGGGGGGAACCCUGAUGCAGCAACGCCACGUGUGGGAAGAAGCAUUUCGGUGUGUAAACCACUGUCAUGGGGGAAUAAGGCCUAUUUUCGGAUAGGAUUGAAUGUACCUUGAGAGGAAGCACCGGCAAACUUCGUGCCAGCAGCCGCGGUAAUACGAGGGGUGCAAGCGUUGUUCGGAAUUACUGGGCGUAAAGGGAGCGUAGGCGGAGAUUCAAGCGGAUUGUACAAUCCCGGGGCCCAACCCCGGCUCUGCAGUCCGAACUGGAUCUCUUGGAUAGUUCAGGGGCAGGC